This 460-nucleotide ribosomal RNA is filed under the name uncultured bacterium. RNAcentral describes it as "partial 16S ribosomal RNA". It matches the Rfam family "Bacterial small subunit ribosomal RNA", at positions 338 to 795 of the family's 1533-position model. The record is from RNAcentral.
CCUACGGGAGGCAGCAGUGAGGAAUAUUGGUCAAUGGGCGGGAGCCUGAACCAGCCAAGUCGCGUGAGGGAAGACGGUCCUAUGGAUUGUAAACCUCUUUAGGCGGGGAGCAAUGCCGGGCACGCGUGCCCGGAGGGAGAGUACCCGCAGAAUAAGCAUCGGCUAACUCCGUGCCAGCAGCCGCGGUAAUACGGAGGAUGCGAGCGUUAUCCGGAUGUAUUGGGUUAAAAGGGUGCGUAGGCGGAUUUUUAAGUCAGCGGUAAAAUGUCCGGGCUCAACCCGGGCCGGCCGUUGAAACUGGGGAUCUUGAGUGGGCGAGAGGUAUGCGGAAUGCGUGGUGUAGCGGUGAAAUGCAUAGAUAUCACGCAGAACUCCGAUUGCGAAGGCAGCAUACCGGCGCCCGACUGACGCUGAGGCACGAAAGCGUGGGGAUCGAACAGGAUUAGAUACCCUAGUAGUC